This 459-nucleotide ribosomal RNA is filed under the name uncultured bacterium. RNAcentral describes it as "partial 16S ribosomal RNA". It matches the Rfam family "Bacterial small subunit ribosomal RNA", at positions 338 to 795 of the family's 1533-position model. The record is from RNAcentral.
CCUACGGGUGGCAGCAGUGAGGAAUAUUGGUCAAUGGGCGCGAGCCUGAACCAGCCAAGUCGCGUGAGGGAAGACGGUCCUAUGGAUUGUAAACCUCUUUUGUCGGGGAGCAAAAGACGCCACGCGUGGCGUUCCGAGAGUACCCGAAGAAAAAGCAUCGGCUAACUCCGUGCCAGCAGCCGCGGUAAUACGGAGGAUGCGAGCGUUAUCCGGAUUUAUUGGGUUUAAAGGGUGCGUAGGCGGACAGUCAAGUCAGCGGUAAAAAUGCGGUGCUCAACGCCGUACAGCCGUUGAAACUGGCAGUCUUGAGUGGGCGAGAAGUAUGCGGAAUGCGUGGUGUAGCGGUGAAAUGCAUAGAUAUCACGCAGAACUCCGAUUGCGAAGGCAGCAUACCGGCGCCCGACUGACGCUGAGGCACGAAAGCGUGGGUAUCGAACAGGAUUAGAUACCCGAGUAGUC